GCAGUCGAGCGGACAGAUGGGAGCUUGCUCCCUGAUGUUAGCGGCGGACGGGUGAGUAACACGUGGGUAACCUGCCUGUAAGACUGGGAUAACUCCGGGAAACCGGGGCUAAUACCGGAUGGUUGUUUGAACCGCAUGGUUCAGACAUAAAAGGUGGCUUCGGCUACCACUUACAGAUGGACCCGCGGCGCAUUAGCUAGUUGGUGAGGUAACGGCUCACCAAGGCGACGAUGCGUAGCCGACCUGAGAGGGUGAUCGGCCACACUGGGACUGAGACACGGCCCAGACUCCUACGGGAGGCAGCAGUAGGGAAUCUUCCGCAAUGGACGAAAGUCUGACGGAGCAACGCCGCGUGAGUGAUGAAGGUUUUCGGAUCGUAAAGCUCUGUUGUUAGGGAAGAACAAGUGCCGUUCAAAUAGGGCGGCACCUUGACGGUACCUAACCAGAAAGCCACGGCUAACUACGUGCCAGCAGCCGCGGUAAUACGUAGGUGGCAAGCGUUGUCCGGAAUUAUUGGGCGUAAAGGGCUCGCAGGCGGUUUCUUAAGUCUGAUGUGAAAGCCCCCGGCUCAACCGGGGAGGGUCAUUGGAAACUGGGGAACUUGAGUGCAGAAGAGGAGAGUGGAAUUCCACGUGUAGCGGUGAAAUGCGUAGAGAUGUGGAGGAACACCAGUGGCGAAGGCGACUCUCUGGUCUGUAACUGACGCUGAGGAGCGAAAGCGUGGGGAGCGAACAGGAUUAGAUACCCUGGUAGUCCACGCCGUAAACGAUGAGUGCUAAGUGUUAGGGGGUUUCCGCCCCUUAGUGCUGCAGCUAACGCAUUAAGCACUCCGCCUGGGG
RNAcentral lists this ribosomal RNA (839 nucleotides) under Bacillus siamensis. RNAcentral describes it as "bacterial SSU rRNA". It matches the Rfam family "Bacterial small subunit ribosomal RNA", at positions 57 to 878 of the family's 1533-position model. Lineage: Bacteria; Bacillati; Bacillota; Bacilli; Caryophanales; Bacillaceae. The record is from RNAcentral.